This 414-nucleotide ribosomal RNA is filed under the name Triticum aestivum (bread wheat). RNAcentral describes it as "partial small subunit ribosomal RNA". Lineage: Eukaryota; Viridiplantae; Streptophyta; Magnoliopsida; Poales; Poaceae. The record is from RNAcentral.
AUGGCAUACCAGCGUGGGGAAUGGUGGAGGUCGGCCAUUGCGUCCUCGACCGUAGGUUCGUGGGUGGAGGUCCCGCACCCAGCGCCAGCGCAACACCUGUGCGUGUCCUGCGGCCUCCCCAUGCUGUCGGGGACCACCAUAAUCUGCUACGCCUGCGAACGUCGGUUCCAUGCAUCCUGCAUCCACCACAUGCGUCCUACGCCAAUACAGCCGCCUCUGCCCACCCCUAGUGUGGGGGUGCGGGGGCCUCCGGCGGCCGUGAACAAAGACUGGAUGUGCCCGGAAUGUGCGAUAGGAGCCGUCAACGCCCGAGACAUCACCAGACAGUUAUGCCAGCUCCCUCUUGAUCAUUUGCUUAUGGUUUUACAUCUGUUUUUGUUUAGCGGAUUUUAUACACAUAGCUCUAAGAAGUAG